Molecule: long non-coding RNA, 428 nt
Organism: Canis lupus familiaris (dog)
Lineage: Eukaryota; Metazoa; Chordata; Mammalia; Carnivora; Canidae
Exons: 4
Source: RefSeq, a predicted model, not a curated record
CGCUGACAUCUGUAUGAAGGGAGGUGGUAAAAUAUACAAGUUAGGACUGUGAGCCCUGGUGCCAGCCUGCCUGACUUGAGAUCUGGCUCUGCACCUAUUAUGUGAUCUUGGACAGGGUAGAGGCCAUUGGCUUUUCCAGCACAGAAUCCACUGCCUCCAGAGCUGCUUCCAGAGCUGCUUCCAGAGCUGCUUCCAGAGCUGCUGUUCCCGUUCCCACUUGCACUCCUGGGAGGAGAAGGCCAUUGAAGGCUUGGUAGAAAGUCACAUCAUCCCAUUCGAUGGUGGUGAUCUCAUUGUUCUUCAUCCCAGCAAAGGCAUAGAUCAAGUCAUUGAAAGCUUCCCGGAGUAACAUACUGCAUUCACAGACAGUGAUCUCAUCUUGUAUCCCACUUCAGGUGAGUACAGAGGCAGGGGUUGAUAACCUCAGG